CUGUAUAUUUUUUAUACAAAGCCAUGCAACUUGCAGGAGCCGGCUUCGACAAUAUGAAAAAAAGCGGCUGUGCUUGCCUCGUCUCCGUUUACUUACUAAAAGUUAUGGGUAGUAUGUACGCCGGCUAAUUUCCUACCGUUUGGAAA
RNAcentral lists this small RNA (146 nucleotides) under Pseudomonas benzenivorans. Its description in RNAcentral is "Pseudomonas sRNA P14". It matches the Rfam family "Pseudomonas sRNA P14". Lineage: Bacteria; Pseudomonadati; Pseudomonadota; Gammaproteobacteria; Pseudomonadales; Pseudomonadaceae. The record is from Rfam by way of RNAcentral.